AUUUUAUCCAACAUUUCAACCCCUACAUUUUAUCAAAUUGUAUUAAAAUAUACUAAAAAAUUAAUUUAUAUCUAAACCAAAUAGUGGUUAGAUAAAUUUUUACACAUGACCGUUCCUCAAAUUUCUCAAGCGAACAUGAAUAAUAAUGUUAUUUAACACCAGUGAUGCUAGAACACCAUUUUAGAUGACCACACUUGAUAAAGUCUAAUUAAAUGGAUAAUUUGACUUUGCAUUUUAUGAAUAUAUCAUUUGUUGCUUUCUAGUUGCCACUUAAAUUGGUGCUAAACACGUUUGGUGCUAAGUGCAUUUAACAGCUACAAAACCAACAAGUGAAAACAAAUAGUCACUUGGGCAGACGAUAUAGUAAACUCAACACUCGCGCGCUUCACGACAACAUAUUCCUUAAUAAAUUACAACGAAAUGAGAACUAAUUCAGAGUCGGGCUUUGAGACAAAUGGGAAAAGGCACAGAGGGAGAGUUUCGGAAUGUUACCAUCCACAACCUACGUUAAGCAAAUCCUCACUUUCUCGAACAAAAUUGCGACUGCUUAUUCCAGUUUUAUCCUG
RNAcentral lists this long non-coding RNA (566 nucleotides) under Olea europaea subsp. europaea. Lineage: Eukaryota; Viridiplantae; Streptophyta; Magnoliopsida; Lamiales; Oleaceae. The record is from RNAcentral.